GUUGCGAAGUUCGGAAGCUCAUAUUGGAAUUCACAAGCCAAUUUGUAAACAAAGUCCCUGAUUGGUCCGUGAAGUAAAAGAAGCCAAUCAAAUGCGUAGUUUACGAACUGGUUUGUGAAUCUCAUUAUGAACUUUUGAACUUUGCAAC
Molecule: non-coding RNA, 148 nt
Organism: Paramuricea clavata
Lineage: Eukaryota; Metazoa; Cnidaria; Anthozoa; Malacalcyonacea; Plexauridae
Source: the annotation of a GenBank genome assembly